RNAcentral lists this ribosomal RNA (444 nucleotides) under uncultured bacterium. RNAcentral describes it as "partial 16S ribosomal RNA". It matches the Rfam family "Bacterial small subunit ribosomal RNA", at positions 339 to 795 of the family's 1533-position model. The record is from RNAcentral.
CUACGGGUGGCUCCAGUGGGGAAUAUUGCACAAUGGGCGCAAGCCUGAUGCAGCAACGCCGCGUGAGGGAUGAAGGCCUUCGGGUUGUAAACCUCUUUUAGCAGGGAAGAAGCGAAAGUGACGGUACCUGCAGAAAAAGCACCGGCUAACUACGUGCCAGCAGCCGCGGUAAUACGUAGGGUGCAAGCGUUGUCCGGAAUUAUUGGGCGUAAAGAGCUCGUAGGCGGUUUGUCACGUCUGCUGUGAAAAUCCAAGGCUCAACCUUGGACUUGCAGUGGGUACGGGCAGGCUAGAGUGCGGUAGGGGAGAUGGGAAUUCCUGGUGUAGCGGUGGAAUGCGCAGAUAUCAGGAGGAACACCAAUGGCGAAGGCACAUCUCUGGGCCGUAACUGACGCUGAGGAGCGAAAGCGUGGGGGGCGAACAGGAUUAGAUACCCUGGUAGUC